RNAcentral lists this transfer RNA (73 nucleotides) under Ailuropoda melanoleuca (giant panda). It matches the Rfam family "tRNA". Rfam says of the family: Transfer RNA (tRNA) molecules are approximately 80 nucleotides in length. Their secondary structure includes four short double-helical elements and three loops (D, anti-codon, and T loops). The record is from Rfam by way of RNAcentral. Lineage: Eukaryota; Metazoa; Chordata; Mammalia; Carnivora; Ursidae.
ACCUGGCUGGCUCAGUCGGUAGAGCAUGUGACUUGGGAUCUCAGGGUUGUGAGUUCAAGCCCCAUGUUGGGUA